GUUGUCGUAUUCAUUUCAAUACAUGUGUGUUGAUGUGGAUUGGGUGGAAUUUAGUUCAAGUUCCACUCCAAUCCACCUCAACACAUGUGUAUUGAUGUGAAUCCGACA
MicroRNA precursor from Sorghum bicolor (sorghum), 108 nucleotides. It matches the Rfam family "MIR5565 microRNA precursor family". The record is from Rfam. NCBI's taxonomy places the organism in Eukaryota, Viridiplantae, Streptophyta, Magnoliopsida, Poales, Poaceae.